RNAcentral lists this long non-coding RNA (826 nucleotides) under Drosophila guanche. The record is from RNAcentral. Lineage: Eukaryota; Metazoa; Arthropoda; Insecta; Diptera; Drosophilidae.
CUAUUUCGAUCCCACCAGUUAAUAAACGUCCCGGACCACCGGAUAUUGCCGUCACAGGUACCAGAUCUGUGGUGCCAAAACCUCUGGUGGGAGUCCCACCAAAGCGGCAAGUUUUUGUCUCUCGGCUUGCCCCUGACCUCACAUCUAAUGAUGUAACUGCUUUUAUACAAAGCAAAAUAAAAGCCGUUGGCUUAAAGGUGGAGAAGUUUAAUUUCUCUUAUGCCAGGGAGAUAUCCUCUUUCAAGAUUAGCGUGUCUCCAACUCAUUUCGAGACCAUUUGCUCUUCCAAAUUUUGGCCAGAGCACCUGGUUGUGAAAGAGUUUAAGGCUAAGAAGAAAAAUAGGCCCCCCAUAACUCUUCCUAGUAGUGCGGCCAGUGGUCCUUCCUCCUCCGCUCCAUUCUCCUCUUCCCACUGCAAUUCCUUGCAGUCAAAAAACUAACAUCCCUCUUUGUAGCCUAUCAAAAUGCUCGCGGCUUACGUAGUAAGCUGAGCACUCUUUUUAUGGAUAGUUUCACAUUGUCAUCCCAUGUUAUUGUGUUUACCGAAACCUGGUUAAAGCCGGACAUUCUUAGUUCCGAAGUUUUGGCAGAUCGGUACACAACUUAUAGAAAUGAUCGUUCGUCUCGACGUGGAGGAGGGGGGUAUUCCCAGCAAAGCUACCCAGGUCAUAUGUAUCCAUAUAAUUUACCAAGGUCGAAUGGAAUUUUCUGUCCUUUGUUUAAUGAAGGCUCCUUACUUCAUGAACUUAAAUUAGUUAAGCCGGUAUUUUCACCGGGCCCUGAGGGAGUUCCCGGCUGUGUACUCAGGUACUGUGCCGAGUCUCUG